This 1200-nucleotide long non-coding RNA is filed under the name Mytilus galloprovincialis (Mediterranean mussel). Lineage: Eukaryota; Metazoa; Mollusca; Bivalvia; Mytilida; Mytilidae. The record is from RNAcentral.
UGCGAACCGUACAUCUUAAAAAAUUGGAGGGUAUACUUCAAUGUUACAACUUUUAACCUGAUGCUCAGUGGUUGUCGUUUGUUGGUGUGGUUUUAUAAGGGUUUCAGGUUUCUCGUUUUUACAUAGAUUAGUCUCCUCUUUGAGUGGUUUCACACUGUAAGUCUGGUAUUAUUUGGGACCCUUUAUAGCUUGCUGUUCGGUGUGAGCCAGGCUCCGUGUUAAAGACCGUAGUUUGACCUAAAACGGUUUACUUAUACAAAUUGUGACUUGGAUGGAUAGUUCGAGUUGGCACUAAGACCACAUCUUGUAUCAUAUUUAAUAGUAGAUUUCGAUCUAUUGGGAAAAAAUCGAGACAAGAUAAAAAAAAAAUAUUUGGUCACAUUUAACAGGCACUUCCUUUUUGCAAGCAGUACAUCUGAAGAUUGAAAAAAGAAUUGGGCGGGUAAGCUUUAAAAAGAUAGCAACCCUACAUAGUCACUUCGGACAAUUGUAAUAUACCCAGAAAAAGAAACUAUAAAACGGUACAAUUACAUAACCUUUAUUUCAUAACUCUCAAAUUCGACAGGGGGAAAAAGAAAUUGGAAAUUCUUGUAUUUAUUGGCUAAGGGUCUGACCUGCAGCAAAGGACAAAGAUACGACCUUCCACAAUAAGCAAAAUUCGUAUCGUAUAGUCAGUUUGGCUAUAAUGGGCCCGGUAUGGUAAACUGAUUACCUGAGUAGAACUUCAACAAUAAACUAAAAUAAUUGUGAUACGACUAUCAUGCCUGUGGAUUGAGUUGGGCACAUAGAGAAUACGAAGGAAAUACACACAUAUAGACGUUCCUAUCCGGUAACAUUGGUAGCAUUUGAAUUAAAUUGAAGCGUCUGACUCGGCAGAUCAAUAUACGUGUGCACCAAGAACACAAAGAAACGAGACAAAUCUGAAUUCUACUAUAAGUUAGUUUAACGGCAAAAAAUAGACCAUAUUUUCAUAGACUAGUAUCUCUUCAAAGGAUUUAGUGUAAUCAUUUCAAUCAUACCUCAUCAGUUAUUUGUGACAUUUAUUUUUAUUGUCGGCUAUGUUUUGAAUAAUAUGAAUCUAUACUUCUAUGACAAGCCUAUUAAGCAUAAUGGUAGUCUCUUGGCUCUCUGGAAUAAUGAGAAUGAUUAUGAAAAAUAAUAUAUGGUAUGCACAUAUUGCAAGUCUGCAUUAAAUUGUCA